GUGUGUGUGUGUGAGUGAGACACACUGUGAAACAGAUUGAGUGUGUGAGGCAGUGUAUACAUGACAGGGAUUGUGGAACAGACUGGGGGUAUGUGACAGUCACACAGAGUGUAGGUGCUGGUUGCUGCUAGCUAGCAGGAGAAUCCUGGGAGCAACGCUGCUGCAAGACAGAGCAAGGGAAGGGUCAGAAGAACACAUGCUACCCACUACACAAGUGCUGUUGGAACAGAUUGUUUCCUAUUGUACAAAUCCCAAUGACAUCUGAUUCAUCCACUGGCAGCCAUCCAAGCCUAUCUGGACAAACAGGCCUCACUGAACUGAGGACUUCAGGUUUUUUUCCACUGUGUUUAUCAGCAGUUUCAUGCUGUUGAAGUGAUCUCGGCAGUACCAUUCCUGGUAAUCCCUCACUCUCGUUGUGCAUUGUUCUUUUGAAACACAGCUCUCCUUGCUUCUGCUAGGUUUAUUAUCUUUCAAGACUUGUGUCUAUGAAGUAGGUAUAAUUACAUCACAUUCUUUAUGAGCAUGUUGUAAAAAAAUCAAUAUACUGUAAACCAUAAUACAA
Non-coding RNA from Pelodiscus sinensis (Chinese soft-shelled turtle), 562 nucleotides. The record is from RefSeq and is a predicted model, not a curated record. Lineage: Eukaryota; Metazoa; Chordata; Testudines; Trionychidae.